This 119-nucleotide ribosomal RNA is filed under the name Pteropus alecto (black flying fox). Lineage: Eukaryota; Metazoa; Chordata; Mammalia; Chiroptera; Pteropodidae. The record is from RNAcentral.
GUCUAUGGCCAUGCCACCCUGAACAAGCUGGAUCCCGUGUAAUCUCAGAAGCUAAGCAGGGUCGGGCCUGGUAAGUACUUGAAUGGGAGACCACCUAGGAAGACCAGGUGCUGUAGGUA